Transfer RNA from Camelus ferus (Wild Bactrian camel), 72 nucleotides. It matches the Rfam family "tRNA". From Rfam's summary of the family: Transfer RNA (tRNA) molecules are approximately 80 nucleotides in length. Their secondary structure includes four short double-helical elements and three loops (D, anti-codon, and T loops). Further hydrogen bonds mediate the characteristic L-shaped molecular structure. tRNAs have two regions of fundamental functional importance: the anti-codon, which is responsible for specific mRNA codon recognition, and the 3' end, to which the tRNAs corresponding amino acid is attached (by aminoacyl-tRNA synthetases). tRNAs cope with the degeneracy of the genetic code in two manners: having more than one tRNA (with a specific anti-codon) for a particular amino acid; and 'wobble' base-pairing, i.e. permitting non-standard base-pairing at the 3rd anti-codon position. The record is from Rfam. Lineage: Eukaryota; Metazoa; Chordata; Mammalia; Artiodactyla; Camelidae.
GAGGGUAUAGCUCAGUGGUAGAGCGCCUGCUUAGCGUGCACAAGGUCCUGGGUUCAAUCCCCAGUACCUCCA